UGUGACCCCCCACCCCAUAACUCUGUCUCUCCUUCCCCAUAGAGACCCCCCCGGCUGUGCUGGCCCCUGUCCUGCCCAGCGAGCAGCUGAGUGAGGUGGGGGGAGCCACUGGGGGCAAACCCUGCCUGGCCCGCAGAGUGCCCGCCCGCGUCCCCUUGGCCAGGGGCACCACAGGAGCUGCCCGGGGAGCACAGGGGCCCCCACAAACCGUGGGGGGGGGGGCAGGCUGCACCACCAGGUUCCCUCCUUACCCAGGAGAGCACAUCCCUAUUCCCAGACCUCCCCUCGAAUGAAAGCAGCACCCCAGGUACACCCCCUGUUCCCCCCCUGCCCCCACACUGCCCUGGGGGGGCCGUGCCGAGGCUCAGGACCCCCCCUGCCUGCAGGCGCUGAGCCCCUCAGAGCAUCUGGACCAUCCAACGUCGGCUUGGCUCGCCGUGUGCCCCUCACAAAGGCCAUGCGCCUCGAGGUGUCCAAAGAGCGCUUCUUCCGCACGCCGCGCCUCACCCCCCGCAGCUGCGUGUCGGGCACCCACCAGCGCCCCCUGAAGUGGAGAUUGGCCCUGACCCCCCAGCGUGGCCCCAGCACCGAUGCUGCUGACAGCAAGGAGGAGGCCCCACCCUGGGAGAACAUCGUGGUGCAGCUCUUCAGGGAGGACGAGGGCCAGCAGGACCCCGAGGGGCCAGUGCAGGCUCUGCCCAGCACCUCGCCAGGCUCCAGCACAGCUCAGGACAAGGCUGUGGUGCAGCUCUUCGGGGGGGACAAGGGCCAGCAGGACCCCAAGGUGAUGGCGAAUGCGGCGCUGGCUCUGCCCAAGGCUCAGCGUGUGCCCCUGCUGCUGCAGCUGCUGUGGCAGGACUUGCAGGACCUUCCCGGCGUGAUAGAGGUGCUCAGGAACCUUUGGGGCUGCGUGGCCCAGCACGGCCUGGUCCCCCUGUCCCCCCACCAGGGCCCCUGCAAGCACCCGGGGCAGCUGUGACCACGUCCACCCCCCCGGGGCUGGGGGCUACCCCCAUGGGCACCGCCACACUGCUAAUAAACUAUUUUGUGCUGCACGUUGCUGUGGGGUC
Molecule: long non-coding RNA, 1070 nt
Filed under: Anas platyrhynchos platyrhynchos (common mallard)
Lineage: Eukaryota; Metazoa; Chordata; Aves; Anseriformes; Anatidae
Description: lncRNA (ENSAPLG00000022544.1)
Source: RNAcentral